UGAGCUGAGUCUCUAAUAUGGCAUUUCUUGCUUUCAACUUUCUGAUCUCUUCAGUAGAAUUGUUUUGAGCAUUUAUAAGCUGGGAAAUUGUUGAAGUGCUUCAUACCCCUCCCAUUUUGUCGAUACACUCACAUUCUUCUAGAGUAGUUUUAGAGAUAGUCUGCUUCUUGGUCCCCAUCUUAGGCUAUCCUAAAAGUACUUUAAAGAAUUUGAAGACAUGCGUGUAGAGAAAUCCAUAGGGGAGGCCAUGAUUUCCAUCUUUGAGUGCUGCCACCUUUUGCAUAUGAUUAAUUAUUAUGGUUGGUAGAAUAACAGUUUGAACCCAUCCGGUGCUUCCAUUAGAUACAGAUCAGACUUGGAUGUGAUGGACUUCCUCUCAGCGCGAGAAAGCAGGACAUUGUUCACUAACUAAAAAAGGAGCUAAUAAACUGGAAGCAAAGCUUUCUUAUACACCCGUUCCCCCCGCUACAGUGCUCCCUCCUUUAACUAAGCAUGCCUAAAGUUUGAGACACAAGCAUCUCUAACAUAAGACAGACCUUCAGAAGGAACCUUAAGCAUGUCUCCUAGCAGUGUAGAGUCCAUAACAACGUCUACGCCAUUUAUCAAUGCACAGAUACGAUCAGAUUCAAUGGUAAAAAGGUCAGCAUAGAAACUUUGAACCUCUUCC
Molecule: long non-coding RNA, 667 nt
Filed under: Nicotiana benthamiana
Lineage: Eukaryota; Viridiplantae; Streptophyta; Magnoliopsida; Solanales; Solanaceae
Description: long non-coding RNA (NBEN_LNC018647)
Source: RNAcentral